Molecule: non-coding RNA, 45 nt
Organism: Schistosoma haematobium
Lineage: Eukaryota; Metazoa; Platyhelminthes; Trematoda; Strigeidida; Schistosomatidae
Source: Rfam
ACUUUGCUGACGAGUUCCAAACAGCACGAAACACGGGUUCAAGGU